This 392-nucleotide ribosomal RNA is filed under the name Afipia sp. B2L4. RNAcentral describes it as "bacterial SSU rRNA". It matches the Rfam family "Bacterial small subunit ribosomal RNA", at positions 60 to 498 of the family's 1533-position model. The record is from RNAcentral. Lineage: Bacteria; Pseudomonadati; Pseudomonadota; Alphaproteobacteria; Hyphomicrobiales; Nitrobacteraceae.
AGUCGAACGGGCACUUCGGUGCUAGUGGCAGACGGGUGAGUAACACGUGGGAACGUACCUUUCGGUUCGGAAUAAUACAGGGAAACUUGUACUAAUACCGGAUAAGCCCUUCGGGGGAAAGAUUUAUCGCCGAUAGAUCGGCCCGCGUCUGAUUAGCUAGUUGGUGAGGUAAUGGCUCACCAAGGCGACGAUCAGUAGCUGGUCUGAGAGGAUGAUCAGCCACACUGGGACUGAGACACGGCCCAGACUCCUACGGGAGGCAGCAGUGGGGAAUAUUGGACAAUGGGCGAAAGCCUGAUCCAGCCAUGCCGCGUGUGUGAUGAAGGCCUUAGGGUUGUAAAGCACUUUUGUCCGGGAAGAUAAUGACUGUACCGGAAGAAUAAGCCCCGGCU